UAAAUGAAAGAAAUCAUGGAUGAACAGCUUCUGAACAGCCGUACAGAGAACAGUUCCCUCCACUGAAAAUUAUUUUUUAAAUGCCGUGACACAAUGAGCCUGUCAAAUUUAGACAGAUUUUAAAUUUGUUCCAGAGUUUUGUUUGAAAAGGUUAAUGGACAGUAAACAGCCUGUGUCUAUGAGACAUCUGUGGCUAGCAGAUUAGCAGACUCUCUAACGGUAGAAGUCUGGCCUGUCGUUGCUGACAACAGUUCGAGAACAGUUUUUAUUCUGGAAAGGGAUAAGUUUGUGUUUGGUUGUAAAACUCAAAUUCUUUGAAUAGUUAGAAUUUGAAAUGCAUAGUCUAUAUUCUUAGAACUUAAAAGCCUUCAUAUGAUGAAAUGUUGGUUAAAAUGGAGAUUGGAAACAAUUGGAAAUAAACAGAAGGUCUUAGAAUUUUGAAUUGUUUAAAACAAAUAUUCUGCACUAUUUCUAUGCCCCUAUUUAAAUAUAACUAAAUGUGUGAUAUUUACCAUGUUUAUUGUUUUGUGCAAAAGCUCAGAUUUUCCUCAUGUCUACUGAAACAUGUGUUCAGAUGACACUCGGAUGGAUUUGAUCUAAAAUGGAUCAGCAGGUGUUGCACAAACUUGUGGAGUCCAUGCCAACUCGAAUGCAAAUUGUCAUUAAAGCAAAAAUGGGAACUACCAAAGACUAAGAAGUAUAGUUUAUAAUGAAAAUUGUUGUGUUAAAUUAGAAAAGAACGCAAAAUAGAAUGAUCUUUAUUAGUGCUCUCAGACUUUUAGGCCCCACUGUAGUUCUGAUUGCAUUGGUAUCUUGAGUACAAACUAAAUUGAUUUGGCUGAUGCCUAUUUUGAUACGGCACAUAGCUAUUCAGAAACUUCACACUUGGCUAGCAAGAUUUUAGACAUCUUAAAGCAGACUGAAUGUUUUACCAUGGUGUUUGUUAAACUAGUUCUUUACAUGGUGUCAUUUCUUGCAGUGUUCAGACCUGUUCCACAAUCUGAAAAGAUCCAGGAAUACAUGCUACAAAUUGCCAGUGGCAUCAGGAUCUGUAGUGAAUCAAUAACAGAAAUUCAGCAUGUGCUACAGUUACAGUUCCACCAAAGAAUAUUGAAGGAAAUAGGAGCAAAGUAAACAUUUUGUUUUGGGAAAUUCAGUAGAGAGCAUUAUUACUUUUUCUAGGACAGCAGUAUCAGCAGCUCAGUAAAACUAUAUACCAGAAGCCUACAAAAAAAUUAUGUAUAUGUAGUCUUAGGUGCUUAAUUGCGAUUUGUUCAUGGCUGACAUUCAUUCAAGCACGAUAUUAAAAAUAACAGUUUAAUACUCUCUCCAUCACCUGCAUGUAGAUACUCAAUAACAUAUUAAGUAUUAUUUGUAAUAUUACAAUGCAAGAUUUUUCACUGUGUGCUUCAUCAAAACCUACUCAGGUGUCCAGAUGUGUUACACUACAUGUAUGACAUUACACUGCACCAUGUAGUGACUAUAAAUGAACAAUGACAUGUAUUUAAUCAUUGUCCAUUUGCCCUUUUUUGAUGUUAUGGAAAGCAGAAGGCAGGAUGUGAGGCAGAACUGGCAGUCUUUCUCCUGCAUUUCUAUUGUGCUUCUGUGUCGGGGUGUGAAUGGUGAGCUGGAUGUACCGACUCUAUUCAAAAAUCGUUCCACUGCCUAAAGGAGACUGGAAACAGAUAAUCCACCUUUCACAGGUACCAAGACCAAACAGAGAAAAUGACCGCAGGUGUGGAAUUAGUUUGCAUAAUGCAGGGUGCAAAUGGACGAUGUCUGCUGGAGUACAGGAGUGAUAGCGUUGUCAUCUGGGGUGAUGUUAUUCUCCUUCAGGCAAUGCGACAGCAGCCAGUGCUUGGUGUGUUGAUGGCUUUCCAAUCAGAUACAGGUUACAAAGAUCAAGGUGCUAAGUUGAGGCAUUUUCAUUCCCCUGGGACUUAUCACCAUAGAAACAACCUUCACUUUAAGAAAAGAUGAAUGAGCCAGAUGAAAGCAAGAUGGUCAGUACGUUUCAUAAGAAUGGAUAAUGGUUCUAAUUAAAAAGCAAAGCAAAUUUGACUAAACAGAUGCUGUGCCAAUGAUGCUUCCAUAUGUCCAGGGCCAUAAUUGAUCUGUCCUUUCAAUGUUAAAUUAGAAUUUUGCAUGAGAGACCUAUGCAACCCUAUGUCUAAAUCACUACAUUUUCAACCAUUAAAGUAUUAAUCUGAGUUAAUCAGAAUUUAUAAAUGACUUUUAUAAAUGUGUCAUGUCUUACAACUUAUCUGUAAGAAGGAUUAAUUUAUUAUACCAUUCACUUGAAGCAAGUAAUGAUGGAAUU
Ictalurus punctatus (channel catfish) is the source of this 2320-nucleotide long non-coding RNA. The record is from Ensembl. NCBI's taxonomy places the organism in Eukaryota, Metazoa, Chordata, Actinopteri, Siluriformes, Ictaluridae.